This 439-nucleotide ribosomal RNA is filed under the name uncultured bacterium. Its description in RNAcentral is "bacterial SSU rRNA". It matches the Rfam family "Bacterial small subunit ribosomal RNA", at positions 29 to 510 of the family's 1533-position model. The record is from RNAcentral.
AGCGAACGCUGGCGGCAGGCUUAACACAUGCAAGUCGAGCGCCUGUAGCAAUACAGGAGCGGCAGACGGGAGAGUAACACGUGGGAACGUACCCUUCAGUACGGAACAACCCAGGGAAACUUGGGCUAAUACCGUAUACGUCCGUAAGGAGAAAGAUUUAUCGCUGAAGGAUCGGCCCGCGUCUGAUUAGCUAGUUGGUGAGGUAACGGCUCACCAAGGCGACGAUCAGUAGCUGGUCUGAGAGGAUGAUCAGCCUCAUUGGGACUGAGACACGGCCCAAACUCCUACGGGAGGCAGCAGUGGGGAAUAUUGGACAAUGGGCGCAAGCCUGAUCCAGCCAUGCCGCGUGGAUGAUGAAGGCCUUAGGGUUGUAAAGUCCUUUCGACGGGGAAGAUAAUGACGGUACCCGUAGAAGAAGCCCCGGCUAACCUUCGUGCCA